AUGCAAGUCGAACGAGAAAUCUCCUGCUUGCAGGAGAGAGUAAAGUGGCGAACGGGUGAGUAACGCGUGGGUAAUCUACCUUCGAGUCUGGAAUAACAUUGCGAAAGCGAUGCUAAUACCGGAUAGCAUCCUGCGACUACGGUCGUCGGGAUUAAAGGUGGCCUCUACAUGUAAGCUACUGUUCGGGGAUGAGCCCGCGUGCCAUUAGCUUGUUGGUGGGGUAACGGCCUACCAAGGCAACUAUGGCUAGCUGGUCUGAGAGGAUGAUCAGCCACACUGGAACUGAGACACGGUCCAGACUCCUACGGGAGGCAGCAGUGAGGAAUCUUGCGCAAUGGGGGAAACCCUGACGCAGCAACGCCGUGUGAGUGAUGAAGGCUUUCGGGUCGUAAAGCUCUGUCAAGUGGGAAGAACCUGCCGGAUGCCAAUACCAUCCGGCACUGACGGUACCACUGGAGGAAGCACCGGCUAACUCCGUG
RNAcentral lists this ribosomal RNA (479 nucleotides) under uncultured bacterium. Its description in RNAcentral is "bacterial SSU rRNA". It matches the Rfam family "Bacterial small subunit ribosomal RNA", at positions 55 to 507 of the family's 1533-position model. The record is from RNAcentral.